GAGUUUGAUCCUGGCUCAGAUUGAACGCUGGCGGCAUGCUUUACACAUGCAAGUCGAGCGGCAGCGCGGGGCAACCUGGCGGCGAGCGGCGGACGGGUGAGUAACACAUCGGAACGUAUCCUUGAGUGGGGGACAACCCAGCGAAAGCUGGGCUAAUACCGCAUACGCUCUAAGGAGGAAAGCAGGGGACCGCAAGGCCUUGCGCUGAAGGGGCGGCCGAUGUCCGAUUAGCUAGUUGGUGGGGUAAAGGCCUACCAAGGCGACGAUCGGUAGCUGGUCUGAGAGGAUGAUCAGCCACACUGGGACUGAGACACGGCCCAGACUCCUACGGGAGGCAGCAGUGGGGAAUUUUGGGACAAUGGGGGCAACCCUGAUCCAGCCAUGCCGCGUGCGGGAAGAAGGCC
RNAcentral lists this ribosomal RNA (404 nucleotides) under uncultured beta proteobacterium. RNAcentral's name for it is "bacterial SSU rRNA". It matches the Rfam family "Bacterial small subunit ribosomal RNA", at positions 9 to 416 of the family's 1533-position model. Lineage: Bacteria; Pseudomonadati; Pseudomonadota; Betaproteobacteria. The record is from RNAcentral.